This 467-nucleotide ribosomal RNA is filed under the name uncultured Phyllobacteriaceae bacterium. Its description in RNAcentral is "bacterial SSU rRNA". It matches the Rfam family "Bacterial small subunit ribosomal RNA", at positions 11 to 526 of the family's 1533-position model. Lineage: Bacteria; Pseudomonadati; Pseudomonadota; Alphaproteobacteria; Hyphomicrobiales; Phyllobacteriaceae. The record is from RNAcentral.
GUUUGAUCCUGGCUCAGAACGAACGCUGGCGGCAGGCUUAACACAUGCAAGUCGAACGCCCCGCAAGGGGAGUGGCAGACGGGUGAGUAACACGUGGGAACCUACCCAGGGGUACGGAAUAACUCGGGGAAACUCGUGCUAAUACCGUAUACGACCUAAGGGUGAAAGAUUUAUCGCCCCUGGAUGGGCCCGCGUUGGAUUAGCUAGUUGGUGGGGUAAAGGCCUACCAAGGCUACGAUCCAUAGCUGGUCUGAGAGGAUGAUCAGCCACACUGGGACUGAGACACGGCCCAGACUCCUACGGGAGGCAGCAGUGGGGAAUCUUGGACAAUGGGCGAAAGCCUGAUCCAGCAAUGCCGCGUGAGUGAGGAAGGCCUUAGGGUUGUAAAGCUCUUUCGGCGGGGACGAUGAUGACGGCACCCGCAGAAGAAGCCCCGGCUAACUUCGUGCCAGCAGCCGCGGUAAUAC